Molecule: ribosomal RNA, 439 nt
Filed under: uncultured bacterium
Lineage: Bacteria
Description: partial 16S ribosomal RNA
Rfam family: Bacterial small subunit ribosomal RNA
Source: RNAcentral
CGGGGGGCUGCAGCAGUGAGGAAUAUUGCACAAUGGGGGAAACCCUGAUGCAGCAACGCCGCGUGGAGGAUAACGCAUUUCGGUGUGUAAACUCCUUUUAUCAGAGAAGAAAAUGACGGUAUCUGAUGAAUAAGCUCCGGCUAACUCCGUGCCAGCAGCCGCGGUAAUACGGAGGGAGCAAGCGUUAUUCGGAAUCACUGGGCGUAAAGGACGCGUAGGCGGGUUUUUAAGUCAGGUGUGAAAUCCUAUGGCUCAACCAUAGAACUGCACUUGAAACUGGGGACCUAGAGUAUGGAAGGGGCAGGUGGAAUUAGUGGUGUAGGGGUAAAAUCCGUAGAUAUCACUAGGAAUACCGAAAGCGAAGGCGACCUGCUGGGACAUUACUGACGCUGAGGCGUGAAAGCGUGGGGAGCAAACAGGAUUAGAUACCCUAGUAGUC